UACGUAGGUGGCAAGCGUUGUCCGGAUUUAUUGGGUUUAAAGGGUGCGUAGGUGGUCUAUUAAGUCAGUGCUGAAAUAUCCCGGCUUAACCGGGAGGGUGGCAUUGAUACUGAUGGACUUGAGUAAAGUUGAGGUAGGCGGAAUUGACGGUGUAGCGGUGAAAUGCUUAGAUAUCGUCAAGAACACCGAUAGCGAAGGCAGCUUACUAAGCUUUAACUGACGCUGAGGCACGAAAGCGUGGGGAUCAAACAGG
Molecule: ribosomal RNA, 253 nt
Filed under: uncultured bacterium
Lineage: Bacteria
Description: partial 16S ribosomal RNA
Rfam family: Bacterial small subunit ribosomal RNA
Source: RNAcentral